Mus musculus (house mouse) is the source of this 1083-nucleotide long non-coding RNA. RefSeq annotates it as predicted gene 12371. The transcript is spliced from 2 exons. The record is from RefSeq and is marked validated. NCBI's taxonomy places the organism in Eukaryota, Metazoa, Chordata, Mammalia, Rodentia, Muridae.
GAAGCUGGCUGGCUGAGAAUAAGAAAAUACAGUAUGUGAGCACUUGGAGGAGAAACUGUAGGUUGCAAUAGUGGAAGGGAGGAGGAUUUUGAGCAAAAGAAGAAACUUGUGUUGUUAGGAGCUGCGACCACGCUAUUCAUUGCCUGAGUAGCCAAGCAUGUUAAGGUUUCUGCUGGAAAGGAAGACAUCACUUUCUAGAAAUAUCUCUAUGAAAUGGCUCGCACAGACUGUGGACCAGGGAAGGAUGAUGCUACAGAUGCACGGUCUCUCCAAGGCACCAACUGAAUCAAGCAUCUGUGUAGAGAGAAGAGAUUCAGCCCCAAGAUGAGAUCCAGGAAUCUAGGAUGUACUCAGGGAGAUGAAGACUACAGCCUACUCAUUCUGUCACUUUAUGCCCCCCUCUUUCUCCUCUCACUCUCUCAGUAUGGUGCAUUAUAGAACAACAAAGAGAGAAAAGGAAAUGAAGACCAUGAGCCUUGCAUAAUAAAUAUUAACUGAGAAGUACCUGGAUCUUAUGAGAAAUAUAUACCUUAUUAAAAAAAGCCAUGCUCUUCAAACUGGCCAGGAUUUAAGUGAUUUCCAGUGAGUACCUUACAAGAAUUCUUCUCAUGUGUGGAGGAGAAGUUCAACACCAUAAAUGGAUGUGGUACAGCGCCCCAGAGGGAAUUACAAUGAAAGUGAAAUCCAAAGAAUUCCAAGAGAACCACACCUGCAGAUCAUGCUCCAUUCAUUUGUGUACUUCCCCCUACUCAGUCUUUAAACCCACAGUGUAGCAAUUUCCAAAGGGAGCUCAAUGCAUAGAUCCCAGGCCCCUUCAUAUGAGCUCAUGGUUGUAUAAACCUCAGUGUCCAUAUCCUACUGAAACUCUGCCCAGAGGAAAGCAUGUGUUUUCUCAGAACUACUUAUUUUGCUCUUAGAUUAUUUUUAAAAUUUUACUCUUAGAUAUUUAUUGACCUUGAUAAUAUACUAAACUGUUUUUGUUUGUUUGUAUGUUUGUAUUUUAUUGUGGUUAUGUUCUCUUUAAGGUCCAUUACAGUGUUGGAAAACAGUGUAUUCUCUAAAUAAAAAAGAGAAAAAUUUAAA